This 253-nucleotide ribosomal RNA is filed under the name uncultured bacterium. RNAcentral's name for it is "partial 16S ribosomal RNA". It matches the Rfam family "Bacterial small subunit ribosomal RNA", at positions 524 to 776 of the family's 1533-position model. The record is from RNAcentral.
UACGUAGGGACCGAGCGUUGUCCGGAAUCAUUGGGCGUAAAGCGCGUGUAGGCGGCUUUGCAAGUCGGGUGUGAAAGCCCUCAGCUCAACUGAGGAAGUGCGCCCGAAACUGCAGAGCUUGAGUGCCGGAGAGGGUGGCGGAAUUCCCCAAGUAGAGGUGAAAUUCGUAGAUAUGGGGAGGAACACCGGUGGCGAAGGCGGCCACCUGGACGGUAACUGACGCUGAGACGCGAAAGCGUGAGGAGCAAACAGG